RNAcentral lists this transfer RNA (75 nucleotides) under Clostridioides difficile. Its description in RNAcentral is "tRNA-Val(tac)". It matches the Rfam family "tRNA". Rfam says of the family: Transfer RNA (tRNA) molecules are approximately 80 nucleotides in length. Their secondary structure includes four short double-helical elements and three loops (D, anti-codon, and T loops). The record is from RNAcentral. Lineage: Bacteria; Bacillati; Bacillota; Clostridia; Peptostreptococcales; Peptostreptococcaceae.
GGUGCGAGGGUUCGANGGGAGAGCACCUGCCUUACAAGCAGGGGGUCACAGGUUCGAGCCCUGUUGGUCCCACCA